ACAAAUCCAAGGGGUAGGCUGGCUUCGGUCAGUGCUAUCUCUUAACUGGCCUUCGGGCCUUCAACCCUAUGUGAACUGUUUAUUGACUCUGGUAAGACCAGGCUCGAAAGGGCCUACUUGCCAGCAACUUUUUUAACUUAUUUUUUUGUCUUAUACUUUUUAAAUACAUA
Molecule: unclassified non-coding RNA, 170 nt
Filed under: uncultured fungus
Lineage: Eukaryota; Fungi
Description: sequence contains ITS1
Source: RNAcentral